RNAcentral lists this ribosomal RNA (741 nucleotides) under Rothia mucilaginosa. RNAcentral's name for it is "bacterial SSU rRNA". It matches the Rfam family "Bacterial small subunit ribosomal RNA", at positions 28 to 776 of the family's 1533-position model. Lineage: Bacteria; Bacillati; Actinomycetota; Actinomycetes; Micrococcales; Micrococcaceae. The record is from RNAcentral.
GACGAACGCUGGCGGCGUGCUUAACACAUGCAAGUCGAACGACGAAGCCUAGCUUGCUAGGUGGAUUAGUGGCGAACGGGUGAGUAAUACGUGAGUAACCUACCUUUAACUCUGGGAUAAGCCUGGGAAACUGGGUCUAAUACCGGAUACGACCAAUCUCCGCAUGGGGUGUUGGUGGAAAGCGUUAUGUAGUGGUUAUAGAUGGGCUCACGGCCUAUCAGCUUGUUGGUGAGGUAACGGCUCACCAAGGCGACGACGGGUAGCCGGCCUGAGAGGGUGACCGGCCACACUGGGACUGAGACACGGCCCAGACUCCUACGGGAGGCAGCAGUGGGGAAUAUUGCACAAUGGGCGCAAGCCUGAUGCAGCGACGCCGCGUGAGGGAUGACGGCCUUCGGGUUGUAAACCUCUGUUAGCAGGGAAGAAGAGAGAUUGACGGUACCUGCAGAGAAAGCGCCGGCUAACUACGUGCCAGCAGCCGCGGUAAUACGUAGGGCGCGAGCGUUGUCCGGAAUUAUUGGGCGUAAAGAGCUUGUAGGCGGUUUGUCGCGUCUGCUGUGAAAGGCCGGAGCUUAACUCCGUGUAUUGCAGUGGGUACGGGCAGACUAGAGUGCAGUAGGGGAGACUGGAAUUCCUGGUGUAGCGGUGGAAUGCGCAGAUAUCAGGAGGAACACCGAUGGCGAAGGCAGGUCUCUGGGCUGUAACUGACGCUGAGAAGCGAAAGCAUGGGGAGCGAACAGG